Gallus gallus (chicken) is the source of this 2979-nucleotide long non-coding RNA. RefSeq lists it as uncharacterized. The transcript is spliced from 3 exons. Lineage: Eukaryota; Metazoa; Chordata; Aves; Galliformes; Phasianidae. The record is from RefSeq and is a predicted model, not a curated record.
ACCCAGAAUCACUGUAGCUGUUCAGCAACUGGCAAAGACCGUAACAGGCAGGUUCCUGCUGGCCCGAAGGAUCACCCUCUACCUGGCUAGAUGGUUGAAACACGUGGAAGGGAACACACAGUGCACAUAGUAAAAGUGGAGGAUGCAUUUUGGUUCCGCUCAUCUUUCUCCUUCCUUCUGUGCCCUCUACUCUGCCCCAAGGAGCACUGCAAUAAGCCUGAUGUGGGAAGUCUCGGAAGUCAAAACUUACACAGGUGGAACUGAAAGCAGAAGAGGCUCAAAAACCUAUGCAUAUGUAUCACCACUGAUACUUCUAACCAACUUGCUUAGCUGACCACCACUGGAUUUACAGUCUUAAUUUAGUGUUUUACACCUCCUACACUCAGAACGUCAAACUAUGUCAUCUCCCUCAUGAGCCAAAAGAGCAUGUCCCUCCAUCUCAUUCAUUCAAGAGACAAGUAGCACAAUAGCUGGCUUAGCCUGAAACUCUCCACACCCCAAGGCCAUGAGUGUACCUGGAUUUUAUACACCGUGAUCCUUAUAGCCUUAACCCAGCAACACCCAUAUAUAUGUACCCUUCAGCGUGAAGCACAUGAGGUUUUCUUGUGUUGGCACUGAACAAAAAAGUGCUAAUCCUUCUGGGAUUAGUCAAAUGGGGCUUAAAAACCCUCUCAGGUGCUUUUCAGUUGCAAGAUUUCCUUGGCAAGUGCAGACACUGGUCUCAGUCAUGAUUUCCCACAGAAUCUAAGCUUCAAUAAGAAAAAAAAAAUCAGACUCACAGUAGCAAAAUAACUUUUUCAAGUUCAUACCCAAUGCAAACUGUUGCAACACUGGCCUGCUGAAUUUGCAGAGAAGCAGCUCCUUUGUCUGUGCUGUUCCUCCAUCCCAGCACCGAACGAAAUAACCGAGGUGACAUCCUGAUCUCUUGGGGGCUCAUGUGCUGCACAGGGCGGCCCAGCAGCCCCCUAACUUCAUGCUGAAGCUCGUGAAUGUUGGAACAAGAGGCAGGAAUGGGUACUGGAAUGAUUCACAAGUGAUAAAGAUCCUGAAAGAAGGAGGCUGGAGGAAAGGAUGAGUAACAGAAAUAGCUUGCUUGUUUCCUCUUCAGAAAAGCAAGAGGAGCGAGGGAUGCUGAAACGAGAACAUACUUCUUUUUUCCCCUGUGGCUACUAGGAAGUUGACAGGAAAAGAAAGGCCUGCUCUUGUUCAGCAGCUAGAAAUGGGAGCUUCACCCUGAGCAGGUACUCACUGGCUAUAAAACGAACCAAGGAACUGUAUCUACAAGCACGGUCCCGCAGCCAUUUCCUUUCAGAAAGUCCCCAGAGCUGGUAGGAGCAAGGGACUGAGCUUCUCAGGAGGACGGUAAUAGUUUAUGACAGAAGUUGUCUUGCCUUCUGCAGGGGUGAGUUCCCAAAUCAGUCUUGCAGGUACAUUUCUUGAGAACUUUUCACUGGUCUAAAACUGCACCGAUUUUCUUUUAUUUUGUGCAGUGAAGUGGUGAAUAUCGGCCUGUUUUUCAUCCCCAGUGCCACUUCUCCAUGAGUCCUCUGGAAGGCUCUGGGAAAACAGAGCUUACUGGAGAGCGACAGCAUAGAUCUCUCAGCACAGCUUCCUGGCAGAUUCUGAGAUUAGCGAUCAUCGUAAAACUUACAGUGGGUUCUGUUCCUCCUGUCCCUCACACCGAAAUUAUCCCUGUAUUUCUAACAGUGCCGUGAGGGUCACCAGCCGACUGACUGAGCGUCUUAUCGUUAGAUGCAACACCCUGUGCCAAGGAGACUGGUGUUGCCACAGGGUUUAAAUAGCUGAGCUAAUAUUUAAACGUCUGUCCCCUCUGAUCUCUGCAAAAUGAGGAGAAGAGACUUUGUGACUGCACACAGACAGCUGCACAGUGCCCAGAGCACUCUGCAGGCCUCAGCGAACCUCCUCGCCUCACAGGUAGCGGUGCAACCCACACAGCAGCACCCAGCUCCUCUCUAACAUAAAGAGCAGGCAGGGGCAACGAGGAGCUCUCCUCUUGAUGCCAUUUGCAGCACUCACGGGCCUGUGCUGAAAGGCUGCCUAUCAGCACUGUGGUGGCCCGCGCAGCGGGUUCAGUACCUGAACGUACCCCCAGCAAACCGACCUACUGCGCGUGGCUCUCUGCUUCCUUUUCUGCUUGUCACCGUGGGGGAAUAAAGCUAACAUCUCUUUUAUGCCAUACUCCUGGAGACCCAGCCCCACAUUCAUUCUCCUCUGCCAUGAAGUUCACAGCACUAAUCUUGAAGAGCAGAUAAUGAUCAGCCAUGCCCGGGCAAGCCGCAGUACUGAAGCCAAAGUAUAAUUUCUGUGGGAUUACAACAACACAAACCACCAUCAUCAGAGACUGCACUGCGAUGAUGCAAGCAAACAUCUGUAACUCCUGCUGCUCCGGGCGAAACACCGACGUGGGAUUAGUGAGCUGCCACUUGGAGCCCGCUCUGACUGCAGCUUUCGUUCCCCUGACCGCACCGCUUUGGCGUGACCUAAGACACAACUCCAGAUAUUGCCAUUAAAAUUAAAAACAAAGAAACCUCAGUCUUUCUAAAUAAUUUGUUUAGGAGCAUCCCAUGCAACGGUUUCCACCCAAGCCACCUUUACAGCGGCAAACUUUUACUAGGAGGUCUCCAGGGCUUCCCUUCCCCAUUAACCCUGCGCAGCGCUCUGAGCUGCACCGUACAGCAGCAGCCCUCUCCUUAUGCUGCUCCUGUGUUUGUCCCAACACAGGAAACAUCCCAUGCAUCACUCUGGACAGAGCCACCUCGCCGUGCUCAGAUGAUUCCUGUGUUGCUGGGUUAUGGGACAAGGGAACAGCGGCUCCCCAACUAUCUUCCAUAGACCUUCUCCGCUGUCUCCUAUUCAUCCCCUUCCUAAUGAAUCACAGCCUUUUCUCUCUCCUCAUAAUAACCAAAUAAGGAUUUCAGAGUUUGGCCCAUUCAGUACAUUCUGUGUUUUAAUACAGAC